AAUGAACGCUGGCGGCGUGGAUUAGGCAUGCAAGUCGAACGCGAAAGUUCCCUUCGGGGAGCGAGUAGAGUGGCGAAAGGGUGAGUAAUGCUUGGAUGACCUGCCCUCGAGACGGGGACAACAGUUCGAAAGGACUGCUAAUACCCGAUAGUCCGGUUUAGAUGCGUCUAGAUCGGUAAAUGGUGCUUCCGCUCGAGGAGGGGGUCAAGUCCUAUCAGCUUGUUGGUGAGGUAACGGCUCACCAAGGCGAUGACGGGUAGCCGGACUGAGAGGUUGGCCGGCCACAUGGGAACUGAGACACUGUCCUG
Molecule: ribosomal RNA, 308 nt
Filed under: uncultured bacterium
Lineage: Bacteria
Description: bacterial SSU rRNA
Rfam family: Bacterial small subunit ribosomal RNA
Source: RNAcentral